GAGCUCUCAUGGGCAGCACAGACACUAAGAGCGGAGCGACCGAGAUUAGCAUAGGCCCUGAGCAAGGAUGACAUGCAAAUUCGAAGUGUUCCAUAUUCUC
Molecule: small nuclear RNA, 100 nt
Filed under: Sorex araneus (European shrew)
Lineage: Eukaryota; Metazoa; Chordata; Mammalia; Eulipotyphla; Soricidae
Source: RNAcentral